GGAGGGAUGGCUGAGUGGUCGAAAGCGGCGGUCUUGAAAACCGUUGAGGCGCAAGCCUCCGGGGGUUCGAAUCCCUCCCCCUCCGCCA
Molecule: transfer RNA, 88 nt
Filed under: Chromatiales bacterium
Lineage: Bacteria; Pseudomonadati; Pseudomonadota; Gammaproteobacteria; Chromatiales
Description: tRNA-Ser
Rfam family: tRNA
About the family: Transfer RNA (tRNA) molecules are approximately 80 nucleotides in length. Their secondary structure includes four short double-helical elements and three loops (D, anti-codon, and T loops).
Source: RNAcentral